RNAcentral lists this long non-coding RNA (1509 nucleotides) under Lathyrus oleraceus (garden pea). Its description in RNAcentral is "Pisum sativum (pea) long non-coding RNA (PSAT_LNC031064)". The record is from RNAcentral. Lineage: Eukaryota; Viridiplantae; Streptophyta; Magnoliopsida; Fabales; Fabaceae.
AACACAACACAAACAACAUAAAUAAUAGCAGCAUGAGAUUAUUUACAAUGUUCACUCUGUUGUGCCACAAAUUACGUACAGACAAACAUUCAAAGAGUAGAAACAAAAUAAAAGUAAUAAGAUAGUAUGAUCAAAAUAGGUACAUGUGUAUAUAGCAAGUGGGCUUGACAAUUUAACCCAUAAAAUUCCUAAUCUCAUUAUUUGAUGAUGGAAUAAAGUUUAUUUAACAAAUUAUAACAAAGUUGAUUUUUCCAAACCAACCCAAUUUCCAAUAUCGUGCGUAACAUACAUGAAUAUGAAAUUCUCCUCUCACUCUUCCCUCUUCACCUAUGAUAUCACAGUUAUGGAAAAAAGAUCAAAACAAGUCCGCUUUUUAAUUAAAAAAUUUAGCAUGUUCAGUCUAUACUUUCUAUAUUAUUUCAAUCAUCACAAACAAAAAAACAAUGCAGACCAACACUUAUUUACAUCUUACGGUAUGAACCAAACAACUGAGUUAAUAAGCAAAUCGGGUGAAAUCGAUAAAAGAUUGAGAAAUCAGACACUAUUAGAGUCAUAUGCAAAUGGAGUGCAAAAAGGAGAGGAAAUGAAAAUAACUACAGUUUUAAAUUGUUACUCAAACUGUAAUAUCCACCAUAUGUCGAAUUUGUAUACCAUCUUGAAUUUGAACACUAACUUUUGUUAGCCGAACAACACAGACAAAACAUAAUAUGACAUUUGCCUAAACCAGAAUGUUACCCAAAGUUAUUAUUGACACGGCAGCGAUUUGAGUGCGGGUACAAAGGAUUUUCCGUCGUUCAUGAAAGUAACCGCAAUAUUUUGCAAUUCGGGACAGACAAGGGAGCCACCGAGUAUGCUUCUUCCAAAAAUGUUAAUCUGUUAUUUUCCUUCGUCAAUAGAUUCCUCCAAUCCACGGUCCGGCGACGGAAAUGAAAGCUUAAAGGGCAGUCAGAUCUUGGACUGGAGGCGAGGAUUUUUUGUCGGAGAUGAAAAAUGAGGUUUUGUUUGCCGAUGAGGAGUGAGGUGACGUGCGAAGGCGACGGCGCAGCCGAGAGACUUCGCGGCGGAGAAGGUUUUGGCGACGGUGGUUGUGAAGUGGGCUAAGGAUGAUGGCGGCGGAUUUAAGGUUUAAGAUGAUAGGUGGUUAGGGCGAGUGAGAUCGAUGGUGUGGAGAUGGAGGAAGUUGUGAUGGUCGAGGUGAGGGCGGAGAUGGAGGUUUCUGGUGGAGGAAAGGUUGGAUGCAGAGUGUCCGAAGGAGAAGGUUGGUGCGGAGGUGGAGCGGAAGUUUCGUCGGAAUGAAGAAGGUGGUUGUGUGGUUGUGUUCGCCGGCGAGGGAGGAGGCGAAUCGGAGAAGGCGGUGGUGAGAAGAUUGUGAACAGUGGUCGUGGCGGAGAUGUUUGGUGGCGGUUUUGUGGUGUUGUGGUGGCGGUGGUGUGAUUGAGGAAGAUGGAGAGGAUGAGUUAGUGUGAGGUGUGAGGUGAGAGCCCAGAGAAUUUGUAACGUGGCCCCCUA